GCCUGCCCUCUCCUGAGUGASCUCCAGGAGCCCCCAGGAGAAGGAGUAAUCCCCCGCCUCCAUUUCCCUACAGGCUUUCACAUAACCCCUUUUUAAGUUACAGGAGGUGGCAUAUAGCUGAGAACAAGUGUAUGUGCCACGCCGCCGUUCCCAUGCGCGCUCUGUUGCUGCCCACAUUUUCCAUUCUUUCCAACUCUGUGCAUGAGAAGUUCUUUCCCAAAGGUGCAGGAUAGUCCUCCACGGCUUCCUUAAAAAAAAAAAAAAACAGUUUUUUAAUUCCUGCAUGCCAUGUUUUCAAUAGCGAUAGAGCAUAAACAUGUGUUGGCAGAUCAUCAACUAACCUAAGUAGCCAGAACUCUGCUGACUUCAACGGCCAUGGACAAUUCACCACAUCUGAAGACAAACACUAGAGGCUCCGUCCUGCUGACAUGGAAGACAAUGCUGAACCUCCCGCUGGCUUCAUGAGAAGCAGGAUCUGACAUACAAUGCAAUAUCUGGAGAGGGAGUGGCUUGCAGUGUCUCCGGUUUGCGUCCUCCCAGGGUCUCUGCGUGAGGGUGAACAGCAGCACCCCUAUUCCAAAGGGAGGGAGGCCUCUAUGAGCUCUGGCAAUCACAGUCUACAUAUGCCUGGGAUUA
This 636-nucleotide long non-coding RNA is filed under the name Dromaius novaehollandiae (emu). RNAcentral describes it as "lncRNA (ENSDNVG00000014226.1)". The record is from RNAcentral. Lineage: Eukaryota; Metazoa; Chordata; Aves; Casuariiformes; Dromaiidae.